UAAGAUUACUAGAAGGUACUGUAUAAGGGAAGCUGAUGGUGAUGAAUUUCUCUGCAAAAUCCGACAGCUUGGACCCUGGUCAAAGAUCAAUCACCAAUUUCAGAGAGAGGUGGACGCAGAUUGGAGAUAGGAAGCAGAUGGAAAAGAGAGAGAUGAAAUGGAAGGGAAAACCAAAAAAAGAGAGAAAUAAAGGAAAAAUGGUGAAUAAGAGGGCUGACGUGGAGUGUUGAGUGGGUAAUAAAAGAAUUUAUAAUUGAAAGUUGCCAAAUGUAAAAUAGGUGGUAUUCUAACUGAUCAGAGUGCUUGACUGCGGACAAAGGUCUUCUAUUGUUACAUAAUUGGAGAUCGAAUAUUUUUAAGUUACAAA
This is a non-coding RNA of Jatropha curcas, 367 nucleotides long. The record is from RefSeq and is a predicted model, not a curated record. Lineage: Eukaryota; Viridiplantae; Streptophyta; Magnoliopsida; Malpighiales; Euphorbiaceae.